GACGAACGCUGGCGGCGUGCUUAACACAUGCAAGUCGAACGGAAAGGCCCUGCUUUUGUGGGGUGCUCGAGUGGCGAACGGGUGAGUAACACGUGAGUAACCUGCCCUUGACUUUGGGAUAACUUCAGGAAACUGGGGCUAAUACCGGAUAGGAGCUCCUGCUGCAUGGUGGGGGUUGGAAAGUUUCGGCGGUUGGGGAUGGACUCGCGGCUUAUCAGCUUGUUGGUGGGGUAGUUGCUUACCAAGGCUUUGACGGGUAGCCGGCCUGUGAGGGUGACCGGGCACAUGGGGACCGAGAUACGGCCCAGAGUCCUACGGGAGGCAGCAGUGGGGAAUAUUGCACAAUGGGCGGAAGCCUGAUGCAGAAACGCCGCGUGCGGGAUGACGGCCUUCGGGUUGUAAACCGCUUUCGCCUGUGACGAAGCGUGAGUGACGGUAAUGGGUAAAGAAGCACCGGCUAACUACGUG
This 468-nucleotide ribosomal RNA is filed under the name uncultured bacterium. RNAcentral describes it as "partial 16S ribosomal RNA". It matches the Rfam family "Bacterial small subunit ribosomal RNA", at positions 28 to 507 of the family's 1533-position model. The record is from RNAcentral.